Molecule: ribosomal RNA, 478 nt
Filed under: uncultured bacterium
Lineage: Bacteria
Description: partial 16S ribosomal RNA
Rfam family: Bacterial small subunit ribosomal RNA
Source: RNAcentral
GACGGACGCUGGCGGCGUGCUUAACACAUGCAAGCCGAACGGUAAGGCCCUUCGGGGUACACGAGUGGCGAACGGGUGAGUAACACGUGGGUGAUCUGCCCUGCACUUCGGGAUAAGCCUGGGAAACUGGGUCUAAUACCGGAUAGGACUCCGGACUGCAUGGUCUGGGGUGGAAAGCUUUUGCGGUGUGGGAUGGGCCCGCGGCCUAUCAGCUUGGUGGUGGGGUGAUGGCCUACCAAGGCGACGACGGGUAGCCGGCCUGAGAGGGUGACCGGCCACACUGGGACUGAGAUACGGCCCAGACUCCUACGGGAGGCAGCAGUGGGGAAUAUUGCACAAUGGGCGCAAGCCUGAUGCAGCGACGCCGCGUGAGGGAUGACGGCCUUCGGGUUGUAGACCUCUUUCAGCACCGACGAAGCGCAAGUGACGGUAGGUGCAGAAGAAGGACCGGCCAACUACGUGCCAGCAGCCGCCGUAG